RNAcentral lists this ribosomal RNA (468 nucleotides) under uncultured bacterium. RNAcentral's name for it is "partial 16S ribosomal RNA". It matches the Rfam family "Bacterial small subunit ribosomal RNA", at positions 28 to 507 of the family's 1533-position model. The record is from RNAcentral.
GACGAACGCUGGCGGCGUGCUUAACACAUGCAAGUCGAACGGAAAGGCCCUGCUUUUGUGGGGUGCUCGAGUGGCGAACGGGUGAGUAACACGUGAGUAACCUGCCCUUGACUUUGGGAUAACUUCAGGAAACUGGGGCUAAUACCGGAUAGGUGCUCCUGCUGCAUGGUGGGGGUUGGAAAGUUUCGGCGGUUGGGGAUGGACUCGCGGCUUAUCAGCUUGUUGGUGGGGUAGUGGCUUACCAAGGCUUUGACGGGUAGCCGGCCUGAGAGGGUGACCGGCCACAUUGGGACUGGGAUACGGCCCAGACUCCUACGGGAGGCAGCAGUGGGGAAUAUUGCACAAUGGGCGGAAGCCUGAUGCAGCAACGCCGCGUGCGGGAUGACGGCCUUCGGGUUGUAAACCGCUUUCGCCUGUGACGAAGCGUGAGUGACGGUAAUGGGUAAAGAAGCACCGGCUAACUACGUG